AGUGAACGCUGGCGGUAGGCCUAACACAUGCAAGUCGAACGGCAGCACAGUAAGAGCUUGCUCUUACGGGUGGCGAGUGGCGGACGGGUGAGGAAUACAUCGGAAUCUACUUUUUCGUGGGGGAUAACGUAGGGAAACUUACGCUAAUACCGCAUACGACCUACGGGUGAAAGCAGGGGAUCUUCGGACCUUGCGCGAUUGAAUGAGCCGAUGUCGGAUUAGCUAGUUGGCGGGGUAAAGGCCCACCAAGGCGACGAUCCGUAGCUGGUCUGAGAGGAUGAUAAGCCACACUGGAACUGAGACACGGUCCAGACUCCUACGGGAGGCAGCGGUGGGGAAUAUUGGACAAUGGGCGCAAGCCUGAUCCAGCCAUACCGCGUAGGUGAAGAAGGCCUUCGGGUUGUAAAGCCCUUUUGUUGGGAAAGAAAAGCAGCAGGUUAAUACCCCGCUGUUCUGACGGUACCCAAAGAAUAAGCACCGGCUAACUUCGUG
Molecule: ribosomal RNA, 492 nt
Filed under: uncultured bacterium
Lineage: Bacteria
Description: partial 16S ribosomal RNA
Rfam family: Bacterial small subunit ribosomal RNA
Source: RNAcentral